RNAcentral lists this ribosomal RNA (497 nucleotides) under uncultured bacterium. RNAcentral's name for it is "partial 16S ribosomal RNA". It matches the Rfam family "Bacterial small subunit ribosomal RNA", at positions 28 to 507 of the family's 1533-position model. The record is from RNAcentral.
GACGAACGCUGGCGGCGUGCCUAAUACAUGCAAGUUGAGCGAUGAAGCUUGGUGCUUGCUCCAAUUUGAAGAGCAGCGAACGGGUGAGUAACGCGUGGGGAAUCUGCCUUUGAGCGGGGGACAACAUUUGGAAACGAAUGCUAAUACCGCAUAAUAACUUUAAACAUAAGUUUUAAGUUUGAAAGAUGCAAUUGCAUCACUCAAAGAUGAUCCCGCGUUGUAUUAGCUAGUUGGUGAGGUAAAGGCUCACCAAGGCGAUGAUACAUAGCCGACCUGAGAGGGUGAUCGGCCACAUUGGGACUGAGACACGGCCCAAACUCCUACGGGAGGCAGCAGUAGGGAAUCUUCGGCAAUGGACGAAAGUCUGACCGAGCAACGCCGCGUGAGGGAAGAAGGGUUUCGGAUCGUAAAACUCGGUUGGUAGAGAAGAACGUUGGUGAGAGUGGAAAGCUCAUCAAGUGACGGUAACUACCCAGAAAGGGACGGCUAACUACGUG